CCUACGGGAGGCAGCAGUGGGGAAUCUUGCACAAUGGAGGAAACUCUGAUGCAGCGAUGCCGCGUGAGUGAAGAAGGCCUUUGGGUUGUAAAGCUCUUUUGUAGGGGAAGAUAAUGACUGUACCCUAAGAAUAAGGUCCGGCUAACUUCGUGCCAGCAGCCGCGGUAAUACGAAGGGACCUAGCGUAGUUCGGAAUUACUGGGCGUAAAGCGCGCGUAGGCCGUUGAGUUAGUUAAUUGUGAAAUCCCAAAGCUUAACUUUGGAACUGCAAUUAAAACUGCUCGACUAGAGUUUGAUAGAGGAAAGCGGAAUACAUAGUGUAGAGGUGAAAUUCGUAGAUAUUAUGUAGAACACCAGUUGCGAAGGCGGCUUUCUGGAUCAACACUGACGCUGAGGCGCGAAAAGUAUGGGUAGCAAAGAGGAUUAGAUACCCUCGUAGUCCAUACCAUAAACGAUGAUUGCUAGAUGUUGGAAAUUUAUUUUCUAGUAUCGCAGCUAACGCAUUAAGCAAUCCGCCUGGGGAGUACGACCGCAAGGUUAAAACUCAAAAUGAAUUGACGG
RNAcentral lists this ribosomal RNA (561 nucleotides) under uncultured bacterium. Its description in RNAcentral is "bacterial SSU rRNA". It matches the Rfam family "Bacterial small subunit ribosomal RNA", at positions 338 to 916 of the family's 1533-position model. The record is from RNAcentral.